RNAcentral lists this ribosomal RNA (487 nucleotides) under uncultured bacterium. Its description in RNAcentral is "bacterial SSU rRNA". It matches the Rfam family "Bacterial small subunit ribosomal RNA", at positions 23 to 507 of the family's 1533-position model. The record is from RNAcentral.
CUCAGAUUGAACGCUGGCGGCAUGCUUUACACAUGCAAGUCGAACGGCAGCGCGGGGCAACCUGGCGGCGAGUGGCGAACGGGUGAGUAAUAUAUCGGAACGUACCCAGAAGUGGGGGAUAACGUAGCGAAAGUUACGCUAAUACCGCAUACGAUCUACGGAUGAAAGUGGGGGACCUUCGGGCCUCAUGCUUUUGGAGCGGCCGAUAUCUGAUUAGCUAGUUGGUGAGGUAAAGGCUCACCAAGGCGACGAUCAGUAGCUGGUCUGAGAGGACGACCAGCCACACUGGGACUGAGACACGGCCCAGACUCCUACAGGAGGCAGCAGUGGGGAAUUUUGGACAAUGGGGGCAACCCUGAUCCAGCAAUGCCGCGUGAGUGAAGAAGGCCUUCGGGUUGUAAAGCUCUUUUGUCAGGGAAGAAACGGUGAGGGCUAAUAUCCCUUGCUAAUGACGGUACCUGAAGAAUAAGCACCGGCUAACUACGUG